This is a long non-coding RNA of Suricata suricatta (meerkat), 272 nucleotides long. RefSeq lists it as uncharacterized. The record is from RefSeq and is a predicted model, not a curated record. Lineage: Eukaryota; Metazoa; Chordata; Mammalia; Carnivora; Herpestidae. The transcript has 3 exons.
GUUGAAACGUAGCUUAAGAACAGUUAGUGUUCCUCUGUUAUAAAGUUGAUUAAGAAGUCAAGGCCGUAUGGCAAGAAACUGAGACUUGGAUGAAAGCCAUCUUGAUGAUUAUCUAAUCAAUAUCAAAAGCUGCUGUAAUUCAUCCAAUUUCAUACAAGGACUACAAGAGAUGGAGUUAAAAUCAGAGAAGAAAAACAUCACUUCCCAGAAUUUGGAGCCCUAAUGGUAUCAAUCAAUGGGCUGUGUUCAGAUAUUUUCACAAUAAUUGAUGU